Molecule: ribosomal RNA, 240 nt
Filed under: Triticum aestivum (bread wheat)
Lineage: Eukaryota; Viridiplantae; Streptophyta; Magnoliopsida; Poales; Poaceae
Description: partial small subunit ribosomal RNA
Source: RNAcentral
AUGGAUGCCAGCCGCUAUACCGAUGGGAGUGAGGGGCGCCGCCGCUGCACCAACGGGAGCGAGGGCCACCGCCGCCGCUCCUCCUCUGAUGGACGUACCGCACGGACGCGAGCGUGGGCUGCCGCAGCAGCCCGCCGGACCAUCUCUGACGAACCUGCACUUGCGACAACAAAAUUAAUAAUGACAAAAAUGAUGAACAUCAAAGUUCAUAGGCAGAAUCCUCAUGGUAGAUUUGGGUAA